GGGUCGAUGCCCGAGUGGUUAAUGGGGAUGGAUUGUAAAUCCAUUGGCUUUUGUCUACGUAGGUUCAAAUCCUACUCGGCCCA
Molecule: transfer RNA, 83 nt
Filed under: Synura petersenii
Lineage: Eukaryota; Synurophyceae; Synurales; Mallomonadaceae
Description: tRNA-Tyr
Rfam family: tRNA
About the family: Transfer RNA (tRNA) molecules are approximately 80 nucleotides in length.
Source: RNAcentral